UACGAAGGGGGCUAGCGUUGCUCGGAAUCACUGGGCGUAAAGGGUGCGUAGGCGGGUCUUAAGUCAGGGGUGAAAUCCUGGAGCUCAACUCCAGAACUGCCUUUGAUACUGAAGAUCUUGAGUUCGGGAGAGGUGAGUGGAACUGCGAGUGUAGAGGUGAAAUCGUAGAUAUUCGCAAGAACACCAGUGGCGAAGGCGGCUCACUGGCCCGAUACUGACGCUGAGGCACGAAAGCGUGGGGAGCAA
Molecule: ribosomal RNA, 246 nt
Filed under: uncultured bacterium
Lineage: Bacteria
Description: partial 16S ribosomal RNA
Rfam family: Bacterial small subunit ribosomal RNA
Source: RNAcentral